This 77-nucleotide transfer RNA is filed under the name Staphylococcus epidermidis. Its description in RNAcentral is "tRNA-Ile". It matches the Rfam family "tRNA". Rfam says of the family: Transfer RNA (tRNA) molecules are approximately 80 nucleotides in length. Their secondary structure includes four short double-helical elements and three loops (D, anti-codon, and T loops). Further hydrogen bonds mediate the characteristic L-shaped molecular structure. tRNAs have two regions of fundamental functional importance: the anti-codon, which is responsible for specific mRNA codon recognition, and the 3' end, to which the tRNAs corresponding amino acid is attached (by aminoacyl-tRNA synthetases). tRNAs cope with the degeneracy of the genetic code in two manners: having more than one tRNA (with a specific anti-codon) for a particular amino acid; and 'wobble' base-pairing, i.e. permitting non-standard base-pairing at the 3rd anti-codon position. RNAcentral also lists the same sequence under 1 other name. The record is from RNAcentral. Lineage: Bacteria; Bacillati; Bacillota; Bacilli; Caryophanales; Staphylococcaceae.
GGGCCUAUAGCUCAGCUGGUUAGAGCGCACGCCUGAUAAGCGUGAGGUCGGUGGUUCGAAUCCACUUAGGCCCACCA